Molecule: non-coding RNA, 1202 nt
Organism: Xyrichtys novacula (pearly razorfish)
Lineage: Eukaryota; Metazoa; Chordata; Actinopteri; Labriformes; Labridae
Source: the annotation of a GenBank genome assembly
AGCCACGGCCCGCCGCUGCUAAUUCCGCCCAGGUGUGCAGAAGGUAACAAUGUCAGAGAACAGCGUGUCAACAUUUUUUCUAUCAAAACACUGAAAAACAGACGAAAGGAGAUCGAUAUAAAGCGAGGACAACAUCCUGAAACACAGCGCAGCAUGACUUUUGAGGUGAGUAAAAGAGAAGCGAACAGAAACACGAAGUGGAUAAUGCUAAUGCUAACAGGCUAACCGCGCUCGUAUUUACUUUGUUUGGGGGCGUGACGACGAAAAAGUGAAGCUUGCUCUGAUUGGAUAAACAUGGGUCUAACUUUUUGGUAUAAUAAUAAUGUCAUAGUAUAGUACAAUAAAAAAAAGUCAUAGUAUCGUAGGAUAAAAACGUCAUAGUAUAAUACAUGAAAAAAAGCUCAUAGUGUAGUAUGUCAAACAGUGUCAUAAUUUAGUGUGUGAAAAAAUGUGAUAGUAUAGUAUGAUAAAAAAUUUCAUCACUAAGUAUGUUAAAUUUUUUUUUUCCUUAAGUGUAAUGCAUAUUAAGACGAUUGUAAGAAACGAUAAAAGAACCACAAUAAACACUGGAGUUAAAGGUCCCAGGUUUUAUUAAUGUAAUAGACACAAGAAUAAGGACACCAAACACAGCUGAAGGUUUAAUCAUUCACUUACAAAUAUUUAUAGACUAAUAUUCUCUGACAGUCACGCCAAAAUAAGUGCAAACAGAUCUCAAGCACAAAUGCAGUAAAACUUUGGACUUAUUUUUACUGUUUUAAAAGACAUCAGGGUAAAAACAACUUCUUGAUCAGUAAAGUAGCCUGAGAGCUUCUCUGAGCUCUCAUCACAGACCAGUUUGGCAUCCUCAGCCACAGAUUUUUUGUCUUUUGUUGGGUUAAAUAUGAAAAACUAAUUGUCUCUCUUCUUUUCUUUCAGGACUCAUCGCCGGCAGAUCCUGGAGUUGCCUCCCGGAAAUAGAGUCUGAAUUAGUUGUUUCACCUUUUCCUUGAGUGUUUAAAGACUUAUGUCACGAUUAAGAGUGAAGAUUUGAGACACUUAAAUUAUCACUUAAAAGCUUUUAGGUAUCAUUAGUCAGCAAGUAAUUUAAAAUAGUUUAGAUUGAACCAUUUUCUAGUUGAAGUUAUCUUUAGACUUUAAAUCUUUGCUUUUGAAUGGAGAUGUUGGUGCAUUUACGUGAUGUCUGGCAUUUCCAGGGAGGGUCU